AGAGAAUUCCCUGCCAAAUUUGAUAUAGAGAGGACUUUUUUCAACACAAAACCACUGUCAAGUGCUCAGAUAGAAUUCUGAUUUUUUUUUCCUGACUCUCACAAGCAGACAUUUUUUUUCACUUCAUUCAUUCAACAAAUAUAUUUUUGAAUGCCAGACACAUCCCAGGCACUGUUCUAGGCACUGCAGUAAACAAAGCUGACUGAGUGAUAGAUGCAGAAAAUAACCCAGAGAAAGGAGAUAUUAUAACAUUGCAAGAGGAUGAUAUUUAUUAAGGGGUAACCAAGAAAGACCACUAUGCAAAGUUGACAAUUAUGCUGAUGCCUGAAGGAAGGAAGCAAACAAAGAAGAUUUCUCAUUCUGGCUAGAGAGAAAAUGGCUAUGUGAGGAUGCACUUUCCCCAUUUUACAGAUGAUCAAACUAAAAGCCAGGGAGUUUGAGUGAGUUAAGUGGCAGAAGACCUGGCAUGAAGACUUCUGAUUUAGUUUUUUCUGGCUGUAGUCAGAGAGACAUGUGACUACAGAAGAAUGGUCACAGAAAUGCAACAUUACUGGUUUUGAAGACAGAGGAAGCUUCUAGAAACUGGAACAAGCAAUGAAAUGAACUCUCGUUAAGCCUUCAGAAAGAAACAGCCCUGCUAUACUUUGAUUUUAGCCCAGUGAGACCCACACUGGAAUUCUGAUCUAUAGAACUGCAAAGAGAAUAAAUGUGUUGUUUGAA
Molecule: long non-coding RNA, 720 nt
Organism: Panthera uncia (snow leopard)
Lineage: Eukaryota; Metazoa; Chordata; Mammalia; Carnivora; Felidae
Exons: 3
Source: RefSeq, a predicted model, not a curated record